RNAcentral lists this ribosomal RNA (535 nucleotides) under uncultured bacterium. Its description in RNAcentral is "bacterial SSU rRNA". It matches the Rfam family "Bacterial small subunit ribosomal RNA", at positions 776 to 1304 of the family's 1533-position model. The record is from RNAcentral.
AAAUAGAUACCCUGGUAGUCCACGACCGUAAACGAUGAGUGCUAAGUGUUAGAGGGUUUCCGCCCUUUAGUGCUGCAGCUAACGCAUUAAGCACUCCGCCUGGGGAGUACGGCCGCAAGGCUAGAAACUCAAAGGAAUUGACGGGGGCCCGCACAAGCGGUGGAGCAUGUGGUUUAAUUCGAAGCAACGCGAAGAACCUUACCAGGUCUUGACAUCCUCUGCCAACCCUAGAGAUAGGGCGUUCCCCUUCGGGGGACAGAGUGACAGGUGGUGCAUGGUUGUCGUCAGCUCGUGUCGUGAGAUGUUGGGUUAAGUCCCGCAACGAGCGCAACCCUUGAUCUUAGUUCGCCAGCAUUCAGUUGGGCACUCUAAGGUGACUGCCGGUGACAAACCGGAGGAAGGUGGGGAUGACGUCAAAUCAUCAUGCCCCUUAUGACCUGGGCUACACACGUGCUACAAUGGAUGGUACAAAGAGCUGCGAACCCGCGAGGGUAAGCGAAGUCUCAUAAAGCCAUUCUACAGUUCGGAUUGUAGG